UACGUAGGGUGCGAGCGUUAAUCGGAAUUACUGGGCGUAAAGCGUGCGUAGGCGGUUCCUCAAGUCCGUUGUGAAAGCCCCGGGCUCAACCUGGGAAUGGCAGUGGAAACUAGGGGACUGGAAUCUGGCAGAGGGGGGUGGAAUGCCGCGUGUAGCAGUGAAAUGCGUAGAGAUGUGGAGGAAUACCGAUGGCGAAGGCAGCCCCCUGGGCCAAUACUGACGCUCAUGCACGAAAGCGUGGGGAGCGAACGGG
This 253-nucleotide ribosomal RNA is filed under the name uncultured bacterium. RNAcentral's name for it is "partial 16S ribosomal RNA". It matches the Rfam family "Bacterial small subunit ribosomal RNA", at positions 524 to 776 of the family's 1533-position model. The record is from RNAcentral.